AGCGGCGGACGGGUGAGUAACACGUGGGUAACCUGCCCAAGAGACUGGGAUAACACCUGGAAACAGAUGCUAAUACCGGAUAACAACACUAGACGCAUGUCUAGAGUUUGAAAGAUGGUUCUGCUAUCACUCUUGGAUGGACCUGCGGUGCAUUAGCUAGUUGGUAAGGUAACGGCUUACCAAGGCAAUGAUGCAUAGCCGAGUUGAGAGACUGAUCGGCCACAUUGGGACUGAGACACGGCCCAAACUCCUACGGGAGGCAGCAGUAGGGAAUCUUCCACAAUGGACGAAAGUCUGAUGGAGCAACGCCGCGUGAGUGAAGAAGGGUUUCGGCUCGUAAAGCUCUGUUGGUAGUGAAGAAAGAUAGAGGUAGUAACUGGCCUUUAUUUGACGGUAAUUACUUAGAAAGUCACGGCUAACUACGUGCCAGCAGCCGCGGUAAUACGUAGGUGGCAAGCGUUGUCCGGAUUUAUUGGGCGUAAAGCGAGUGCAGGCGGUUCAAUAAGUCUGAUGUGAAAGCCUUCGGCUCAACCGGAGAAUUGCAUCGGAAACUGUUGAACUUGAGUGCAGAAGAGGAGAGUGGAACUCCAUGUGUAGCGGUGGAAUGCGUAGAUAUAUGGAAGAACACCAGUGGCGAAAGGCGGCUCUCUGGUCUGCAACUGACGCUGAGGCUCGAAAGCAUGGGUAGCGAACAGGAUUAGAUACCCUGGUAGUCCAUGCCGUAAACGAUGAGUGCUAAGUGU
This 743-nucleotide ribosomal RNA is filed under the name uncultured bacterium. RNAcentral describes it as "bacterial SSU rRNA". It matches the Rfam family "Bacterial small subunit ribosomal RNA", at positions 94 to 823 of the family's 1533-position model. The record is from RNAcentral.